AAUAAGUUUUAUUCUUUUUUUUUUUUUUGUUAUUUAAUUGAUUUAUAUGUUUAGUUUUUAUUUUUAUUUUUCAGUAAUUUAUUUUAUUAUUAAUUAUUAUUAUUUAUUUAGCAAUUUAUUAUUUGAUUGAUUAAUCUUGUGCCAGCAUUCGCGGUUAUACAUUUAAUUUUAAUUAAAAUUUUAGGUUUUUAAGAUUUUUGUACUGAUUAUUAUUUUUUAUAUUUAGGUUAAAUUUAUAUAUUUUUAUUAAUAUUCUUUUUUUUUUUUAUUAAUUUAUUUGUUUAGACUAGGAUUAGAUACCCUAUUAUAUUUAAUUAUUUUUUUUCUGAGUAUUAAAAGUUAUGUUCUUUAAAAUUCGAAGAAUUUGGCGGUUAUUUUAAACUUUUUAGAGGAAUAUGUAGUAUAAUUGAUAAUCCACGAUAUUUUCUACUUAAUUUUAUAUUUGUAUACCUCCAUUGUUUAUUAUGAAUAUUUUUUUAUAAUUAUUUUCUUUUUUCUUAUAGAUUAAAUUUUAGGUCAAGGUGCAGUUUUAUUUAAGUAAUUAUGUAUUACUAUAAUUUUAAAUUUUUUUUUUUUUUAUGUCUUUUUGUGUAUUAUAUUUUAGGAUUUAAUAGUAAUUUUAAUUAAUUAUUUAAUUUGAAUUUAGUUCUAAAUAAUGUACAUAUCGCCCGUCACUCCUAAUAAUAGGAUAAGUCGUAACAAAGUAGAAUUAUUGGAAAUUGAUUCUAGAAUAAUUU
This 737-nucleotide ribosomal RNA is filed under the name Krisna furcata. Its description in RNAcentral is "12S ribosomal RNA". Lineage: Eukaryota; Metazoa; Arthropoda; Insecta; Hemiptera; Cicadellidae. The record is from RNAcentral.